Molecule: transfer RNA, 68 nt
Filed under: Ceratias uranoscopus (stargazing seadevil)
Lineage: Eukaryota; Metazoa; Chordata; Actinopteri; Lophiiformes; Ceratiidae
Description: tRNA-Phe
Source: RNAcentral
GCUAACGUAGCUUAACCAAAGCAUAACACUGAAGCUGUUGAGACGAGCCCUAGAAAGCUCCGUGAGCA